UUGGUGAGGUAAUGGCUCACCAAGGCGACGAUCCCUAGCUGGUUUGAGAGGAUGAUCAGCCACACUGGGACUGAGACACGGCCCAGACUCCUACGGGAGGCAGCAGUGGGGAAUAUUGCACAAUGGGCGCAAGCCUGAUGCAGCCAUGCCGCGUGUGUGAAGAAGGCCUUCGGGUUGUAAAGCACUUUCAGUAAGGAGGAAAGGUUAAGUGUUAAUAGCACUUAGCUGUGACGUUACUUACAGAAGAAGCACCGGCUAACUCCGUGCCAGCAGCCGCGGUAAUACGGAAGGUGCGAGCCUUAAUCSGAAUUACUGGGCGUAAAGCGUACGCMGGCGGGUUGUGUAAGCGAGAUGUGAAAGCCCCCUGGGUCUCAMCYGGGAACUGCAUUUCGAACUGGCAAAMUAGAGUGUGAUAGAGGGUGGUAGAAUUUCAGGUGUAGCGGUGGAAAUGCGUAGAGMUCUGAAGGAAUACCGAUGGSGAAGGCASCCACAUGGGUCAACACUGACGC
This 509-nucleotide ribosomal RNA is filed under the name Pseudoalteromonas sp. LC201. RNAcentral describes it as "bacterial SSU rRNA". It matches the Rfam family "Bacterial small subunit ribosomal RNA", at positions 249 to 746 of the family's 1533-position model. Lineage: Bacteria; Pseudomonadati; Pseudomonadota; Gammaproteobacteria; Alteromonadales; Pseudoalteromonadaceae. The record is from RNAcentral.